CCUACGGGAGGCAGCAGUGGGGAAUAUUGGGCAAUGGGCGCAAGCCUGACCCAGCAACGCCGCGUGAGGGAAGGAGGCUCUCGGGUUGUUAACUUCUUUUUAGAGGGAAGAGCAGAAGACGGUACCUCUUGAAUAAGCCACGGCUAACUAAGUGCCAGCAGCCGCGGGAAUCCGUAGGGGGCAAGCGUUAUCCGGAUUUACUGGGUGUGAAGGAGGCGCGGGAGGCAGCGCAAGCCAGGAGUGAAAGCCCGGGGCCCAACCCCGGGACUGCUCUUGAAACUGCGCGUCUGGAGUGCAGGAGAGGUAAGUGGAAUUCCUGGUGUAGCGGUGAAAUGCUUAGAUAUUAGGAGGAACACCAGUGGCGAAGGCGGCUUACUGGACUGUAACUGACGUUGAGGCUCGAAAGCGUGGGGAGCAAACAGGAUUAGAUACCCGGGUAGUC
Molecule: ribosomal RNA, 442 nt
Filed under: uncultured bacterium
Lineage: Bacteria
Description: partial 16S ribosomal RNA
Rfam family: Bacterial small subunit ribosomal RNA
Source: RNAcentral